AACUGAUUCGGGUCAUUUCUUUGAUAUAAUGACUACUAUGGAUGCUCGAUAUGUAAGUGAACCCAUGAGAGCUGAUCAGUUUCAUCAGUCAACUGGGGAGGAUUUAAUGAAAUGUUUUAAUAAAUACGAUAUGACGCAUAAAAGGCGAGGUGUCGCUUACAUCUUCAACAAUGAAAAUUUCAAACGAUCGGAACUUGCAACUCGUUAUGGCUCAUCAAAAGAUACAGAAGAUUUUAAAAAGGCAUUAAUUAAACUUGGAUUCCGUGAAGAUGAUAUCAAAGUUUAUAUGGAUGCAACAGUCGAAGAAAUGCGCGACGCUUUGAAGCAGUUUGGAAAAAAUUCUCAUACUGAUAUUGAUUGCUUUAUUUGUGCAAUAUUGAGUCAUGGUGGCCCGGACGACGUUAUCUGUGGAUACGACGAUGUUGUUAAACUAGACGAAUUGUUUUCUUACCUGAGACCCAAGUGUUGUCCAUCUUUAACAGGAGUACCUAAAUUAUUCUUUGUUGAAGCAUCUCGUGGAAGUAAGAUUGAUGUGGGGGUCGAAAAAACUGAUGCUGAUUUAAUAGGGUAUGGAAAAAGGACACCCAAAAUUCCGGUUAUGGCAGAUAUGUUGGUUGUUUAUUCAUCGAGUAAUGAAUAUUCUUCUUUCAUAAAUGAAGAUGGUUCGUGGUUUAUGCAAGCUCUAAGUAAAAUGUUGAUGGAAUAUGGCAAUGAAUAUGAAAUCAUGAAACUUUUAACUGCUGUCUCUAACCGUGUUGCCUCUUUAGACUUCCGAAGUUCGGCUAAUUCGGAAUACAAUGGAUGUAAACAAAUGCCUCACAUUAUGUCGACAUUGAUUAAAGAACUAAAGUUUCAGUCCAAGAACUAAAUGUACCGUUUACUUUAAUAUCAACACUAAAGUUUUACGUAAAUAUAUGUAUACAAAUACAAAAUGUAUGUGCUUUUACAUAUAAUUACUUGACCUAAAAUGUAACAUUUUAAAUCAAUUAUUUUCUAUAAUUGUUAAUAUGAUUCCAAUCUUAAUUUGGUUUCUUUUUAAAAUGUUUAACUGAACCUAUUCCCUACCAUU
Octopus sinensis (East Asian common octopus) is the source of this 1069-nucleotide RNA transcript. It is a transcript of the gene named caspase-1-like, with no coding region annotated. The transcript has 2 exons. The record is from RefSeq and is a predicted model, not a curated record. NCBI's taxonomy places the organism in Eukaryota, Metazoa, Mollusca, Cephalopoda, Octopoda, Octopodidae.